UGCCUAACAAGUUUUUUUUAACUUUCUUUGUUCUUUUGUUAUUAUAUUUCAAUAGCAUUCUUUGUUACGAUUGCUAAAUUAGAAAUAGUUUAGGUUAUGGAAAGUAGAUUGUCAAAAGUAGUUUAAUAGAAAAAUUGCUAUUACUUCUAGUAAUGCUGUAUGCGUUUUAAUAAUUUUUGCAAUAUAUAUUAAUUGUACUCUACCAAUAACUUAAGAUAGCCACAGAAACUUUGUAAAAAUUAUUAGAUAUCUUUAAACAUUUUCAAGAAUCAUUGGAAAAUAUAAUUAAACAGUAGUGAAUAAAAUAAGAUCUUUUCAGAAGUAAUUUAAUAUGGUAGUAAAUUAAAGUACAACGAAUGAAAAGAAUAAAACGUAUCUCUGUAUGCACAGAAUGUAAGUAUAUCCAAGUUAAUUGUAUCGCUUAAUGUAAAAUUUGCUCUUCAGAGUUCAAUAUAUAAUUGGCGAUAAUUACUCAUGCGACAAGAUAGCUUUUUCAUAAUUUUUCUAGACCUUGUUCAUGCGAUAAUCCCCACUUUUCUUGGCAUGCUGUUCCUGUUUCACUCAUUUCGUCACUUAUGAUUUGCUUGUUUGUUUUCUUUGGCGUUAUUAUCUUCAUAAACGUUUCAUUUUGUUUUAAUUAUUAAAUGGACUAUGCACUUUAAGUUUAUUCUUAGAUAUCAAGCUAUUUUAUAAAUUUGUUUAUAUAAUUAUAGCUUACAGGUUAUAUGCAUACAAAUAAAAGUUAAUUUUACGAUUUUUAAUAAAAUGGCAUGCUUUCAGUCCAUUAAAUUCUUUAUUGAUACAUGAAGAUACGAUUUUAAUUAUUAUUAGUGAGCAAGUAAGUCUUGCUUUAAUUUUUACUCAAUAUGUAUUAUACUUUAAAUGAAUUUACCAACUUGUUAUAUAGUAAAUCAUGUUUGAGCAUUGCAGUCUUAUCUUAGUAAAAUAUUUCUUUACAGAAUAACAACUUUGCAUUUAUUGACUGUAAUAUAAUUUAAAUUUAUUAAGCUAAUAAAAAGUAUAAAAAGCAUUUUUUCUAAAAACAUACACGAUCAAAGCAUCAAUAUACCAUUACGACUAAUGUAACAAACAAUUACUUUUAAUGACAAUCUGAUUUCCUGAAGAAAGCGUUUUAGUUUUUUAAUCAUUUUUAAUAUGUAUAGUAUUAUAAAAUACGAAUAGCUUCACUAUUCAUGUCUACGUUUGGAAAAUAUGAAAUCACUGCAGAAAAUAACACUUGCAACUUUUAUAUUCGUUUAAAGACACAAUGAAAGGUCUUCACUUUUUCACAAUAAAUAGGCUUUAUACAAUUGUUCUACAAUGCAAGUGGAUGAAACUGUUCAGAACAACUGCUCCGCGCACUGCAAGCUUCCCUUUUGGUACGCUUAGUAUCAAUCGCACAACUGUGUCCGAGUGAUCGGCUGAAAAAUGGGUAGCGCCCGCGGAGGAAGAAUAAGAAGGCCACGACAGCGGCUAUCGACAAGUCGUCGCGUUCGACGGAAAGACGAGUAACGCGCGCGGCCAAGAUAACAUCGACGAGAACCGUCGCUGCUGGGAUUUUUUCCUACGCGCCGGAUACGAAGUGGCUAUAUCAACCUCGGAAUUGUGUUAUCAAAGAACGACAUGUGGACAUUGAUUAGUGCUUACAGGUAAAGUAUGUAGAAAGAUAUUAGGUGGGCUCACGUUUGACGCACGACAUAAAGCGUGAGCACCGUCAGACGCAAUAUGAAGUUGCAAUGAGAUGAGCAAAUAGAAAUCUCACAGAUUAACCAUAAAAGAAAGUUUGUGUUAUUUUGCGAAAUUCAAGGAGCUGUAUAGGAAAUUAAUUUUGAAUGUAAGACUUUACUUUAUGUGGCCAAUUAUGGCUUCAUGAAUCUUGCUAACAGGAUUUAACUGUGGGUGACCAAAAUGGAAUUUUUAUAACGGUUAUCAAUUUAAAGAAUAAAAUGUAAAGCACUCAAUAAUCAUUAAUUGAAAAUCUACUUUUUUCGAAUUCGUUAUAAAAUAAUUUAGAUCAAAGAAAUCAAUAACAAGUUUUAAAUUUCAAAACGUUAUAUGUUACCAAUUAUACAUACAUACAUACACCAAUAAGAUGGUAUAUGACAUUAAAGUCCAUAUUGAACAAACGUUGAGUUGUACUUCGAUGGAACCCUCUUGGUUAAACCUUGUAUACUCUAAAGGUAUAUUAUUGAGAAUUAAAAUAUCACUAUCAUUAUAACGUGAAUUUCUACCUUACGAACAUUGAUUUCAUUAAUUAUAAAAAUCUAGUGCUUUGAAAUUUUUUAAAAACAAAUAAAAUAAAACAAUAGUUCAUUGUUGUUCUAUACGUUCAUAGAAGGGGACAAUAACGUGCAAUUAUUCUCAAUCAGUUCACAGAAAAUUCUUACAAUUGUCGGUGACCACUUGGUCAGCAAUUCGAUAGCAAAUCCAACCAAACUUCUUCCGAUCGAGAUGUAUGAAAACAUACUGUGUAAACUCAGACCGUUAGAAAGGAGUCGUGGGCCUGAAAAAGUACCGAGAAAAAAAGAUUGUGGCUUGCGCACGCGGUCGCGCAUAUAAUAAUAAACCUACGACUAUGAUCUCACGGCAGCUUACCGGCGCACGUGAGGUCUAUAAAUCUUGAGAGUGACGGCAGUCCGUGGCAGCAUUAUAGAAGACACUUUUCUCGCCCGGUACAGCGCCAUAUACAACACUCUGCGUGUCUACUGCAGUCGUUAGAGCUUGCGCUAGAGCUCACGAAAAUAGUUCAGUCAUAGCAACUUUGCGAUUGCUGGCGCGUGAAAUCGAGGAUGACUGCACUAGCUGACGCUGAUGUGCCUGUCGCAUAUCUGCGAUAUCUGUAGAGGUCAAGAAAUCGACUGAAUCGUCUCACGGAUUUGUUGGACACGUGUCUUUAAAUAACCAUCUAACGCAAGGACUGAAGAAUAAACAGACAGAAGUUUUCAGAUGAAUUCAAUAUAAUGUUCUACGGUUAAGAAUUCGAGCAAAGCUGAGAGAUCACGCGCGAAAACGAGCAGCCAAACCGAUGACGAAUGUCUCAUCGAAUAUCAAAGAAGGGAUGCUUGGCUUGAGUAAGCGCCUGAAAAAGUGCAACACUAUACAAAAUAGAUAAGUAAUUCAGGAGAGCGCCGUACGCGCGCUGCGAGCAAGCGAUGUAUUUCGCAAGGACGCAACCCGACAAAUCAUCGAGCUGCGCGCUUUUUACACUGCACACGCGCACGCUCGCGCGUGCACAUACACACACGUCGGAAGAGUUUGCAGCAGGAGGAAAAAUGUGCAUCGAACGACUGGGCCAAUUGUAACGCGUCGUGAAGUCUGAUUCUCUGAUAGCAACAGUCAACUGCAGAAUAGAAAUCCGCCUGAACUAUACAAUAUGUACGAUGCCAUCGCGUGAUUUGGGAAGUAUUAAAAAGGCAUGGUGUUGUGAUUCUUUAAGUUAUUAUAUAAAGUGCGAAUCAGCGUUUAUGGUUAAAAAUUUGUUUUUAUAUGUAAUUCCACAAGUCGUUUAUUUGACCAAGCAGUACAAGUUACACAUAGCAUGUAUAGCAUACGUACAAUACUGCAAAUCUGAACUGUUGAUUAUCGACUAUUUUGGUAAUACAUUAUGAUGGUACUAAAGUGUACUUACACUGAUGUCGUAGAAGGAGAAAAACUUAGAAAAACUAACUGAUUAUACAAUGACUCAAGACAUUUAAUGGUAUACUGAGCAGAAGCAAUAAAUAUCAAAAUUUAUUUGAAGUUACAUAAAAAUAUUAUAACUGCAUUUCCGUCUUCUAUUCCAAAAUAUCGCAAUUAUUUUGUUAUCCAAUAGAUUCAAAGUUUUAUUAUGCGACUAAUUUGAUAGUAUUAGAAAAAUCAUGACAAUUUGUUACUGUUGAUUUUGUAGAGGUUGAUAUGUGAUAAAUUGAUUAGAAAAUCAAUCAAUAACUUACUUUUAAUUAAUUGUUUAUAUCAAGAUAAAUAUUAUCGCUAUUGUAUGUAGAUAUAAUUAUCAAGUCUAAAAUUUACUGUUCUUGUAUAUUUAGUAUUUUUUUAAGGAAAUUGGUAUAAUACUUUGCAAAUUUGCAUUUUUAAUUUAUAGAUUUCGUAAUUUAUACAUUUAUUGUAAAAAUAGUUGCGAUGCUGAUGUUAUAACGGAAUAAAUAAAACAUACAUUAAUUAAUAAUUUGAUAGUACCAUCAGAUAAUCGGAGCGUGGUUAAUCUUAUGCUGCGUCUAUCAUAUCAAAUAUUUAAAGUAUAAUAAUUAAUACAUUUUUUUUAAAAAGCUUGGUACAUAUAUUUAACAAUAAAUUUCAAAUCUAAUCAUAAUACUGCAUGUAAAAUUGGAUUUACUGUGUACAGAGUUUGGUUAGAUAAACUCAUAUAAUAAUUUAUUCAAAUAGAAUACUUUUGUUGGAUAAAAAUAUUUGAAAUCACAGUUUGAAUACGAAAAAUUCGAUAUUUAGACUAUCUUAGUCUGUCUUGUGAAAUACUGAGUGUUUAGAGGAUCAUCCAUUUACCUUUUUAUCUGCAUCUAUCUGUAGAUCUGUAAGGAAAGCUCGAAAUAUUUUUAGAUAAAACUGGAUGUGACAGUAUCGUAAAAUAUUUCUAUAAACUCAUCAAAUUUGAUGAGGUAAAAUAACAUUUUUUUAAAUUGAAAACAGCAAUAAUAGUUUACUUAAAAACGGCAUUUUGUUGAAUUUUCUAUGUUUACUUAGCAAUGUUUAUGUAAUAAACCUUGAUGAAUUGUGUCGACGAUAAAAAAAGACUCGGAAACUUGAGCGUCGAGUUGUUUUCAUAAAUAUAAUGCUUUUCUUACGCGACUGAAAAAAUCAAUGGCAUGUGCAUUGUAAACGAAGAGAUAAUUUUAACAAAGCAUCGCCUGUUAAAUCAAUAAAAUUUCUUAUGAUACA
Molecule: long non-coding RNA, 4893 nt
Organism: Nasonia vitripennis (jewel wasp)
Lineage: Eukaryota; Metazoa; Arthropoda; Insecta; Hymenoptera; Pteromalidae
Exons: 5
Source: RefSeq, a predicted model, not a curated record